AUACGGAGGAUGCGAGCGUUAUCCGGAUUUAUUGGGUUUAAAGGGAGCGUAGGCGGGAGCUUAAGUCAGCGGUUAAAUGGUGCGGCUCAACCGUGCCCUGCCGUUGAAACUGGGUUUCUUGAGAGUGCAAGAGGCGGAUGGAAUUCAUGGUGUAGCGGUAAAAUGCUUAGAUAUCAUGAAGAACUCCGAUUGCGAAGGCAGUCCGCUGGGGCACGUCUGACGCUGAUGCUCGAAGGUGCGGGAAUCAAACAGGAUUAGAUACCCUGGUAGUCCGCACGGUAAACGAUGAUUACCCGCUGUCGGCGGUAGACAGUCGGCGGCCAAGCGAAAGCGAUAAGUAAUCCACCUGGGGAGUACGCCGGCAACGGUGAAACUCAAAGGAAUUGACGGGG
This 392-nucleotide ribosomal RNA is filed under the name uncultured bacterium. RNAcentral describes it as "partial 16S ribosomal RNA". It matches the Rfam family "Bacterial small subunit ribosomal RNA", at positions 523 to 918 of the family's 1533-position model. The record is from RNAcentral.